UCCCUCUCAGGGUUGUACCUGGAGAGUUACCAGCACUCUACCAGUCUCGGCUACAGGUGGGAAAGUCAAGCAGAGGCCUACCCCUUCCAUUCCUAGCUUGGGAAGUGGCUAGCAAUUGGAAGGCAAUUUGCUGCAAAA
Molecule: small nucleolar RNA, 138 nt
Organism: Tachyglossus aculeatus (Australian echidna)
Lineage: Eukaryota; Metazoa; Chordata; Mammalia; Monotremata; Tachyglossidae
Source: RefSeq, a predicted model, not a curated record